This 495-nucleotide ribosomal RNA is filed under the name uncultured bacterium. Its description in RNAcentral is "partial 16S ribosomal RNA". It matches the Rfam family "Bacterial small subunit ribosomal RNA", at positions 28 to 507 of the family's 1533-position model. The record is from RNAcentral.
GACGAACGCUGGCGGCGUGCCUAAUACAUGCAAGUAGAACGCUGAAGGCGGAGCUUGCUUCUCUGGAUGAGUUGCGAACGGGUGAGUAACGCGUAGGUAACCUGCCUGGUAGCGGGGGAUAACUAUUGGAAACGAUAGCUCAUACCGCAUAAGAGUAGAUGUCGCAUGACAUUUGCUUAAAAGGUGCAAUUGCAUCACUACCAGAUGGACCUGCGUUGUAUUAGCUAGUUGGUGAGGUAACGGCUCACCAAGGCAACGAUACAUAGCCGACCGGAGAGGGUGGUCGGCCACACGGGGACUGGGACACGGCCCAGACGCCUACGGGAGGCAGCAGUAGGGAAUCUUCGGCAAUGGACGGAAGUCUGACCGAGCAACGCCGCGUGAGUGAAGAAGGUUUUCGGAUCGUAAAGCUCUGUUGUAAGAGAAGAACGAGUGUGAGAGUGGAAAGUUCACACUGUGACGGUAUCUUACCAGAAAGGGACGGCUAACUACGUG